RNAcentral lists this small RNA (155 nucleotides) under Streptomyces rimosus. RNAcentral's name for it is "c-di-AMP sequence". It matches the Rfam family "c-di-AMP riboswitch aptamer (ydaO/yuaA leader)". From Rfam's summary of the family: This family represents a conserved RNA structure found upstream of the ydaO and yuaA genes in Bacillus subtilis and related genes in other bacteria. The ydaO/yuaA element is thought to act as a genetic "off" switch for the ydaO and yuaA genes in its native state. The record is from RNAcentral. Lineage: Bacteria; Bacillati; Actinomycetota; Actinomycetes; Kitasatosporales; Streptomycetaceae.
GGACAGUCAUCGCCGAGUCCCCGUACGGCGCGAGCCAGGGGAGCCGGGGACCCACGUCCCCUGGGGUGAAUCGGGCGCCUUCCCGGAGGGGCCCGUAGGAGACCUUCCUGCUCCGAACCCGUCAGCUAACCCGGUAGGCGAGAGGGAAGGAAAGG